This 527-nucleotide ribosomal RNA is filed under the name Ruminococcus sp. M73. RNAcentral describes it as "bacterial SSU rRNA". It matches the Rfam family "Bacterial small subunit ribosomal RNA", at positions 8 to 533 of the family's 1533-position model. Lineage: Bacteria; Bacillati; Bacillota; Clostridia; Eubacteriales; Oscillospiraceae. The record is from RNAcentral.
AGAGUUUGAUCCUGGCUCAGGAUGAACGCUGGCGGCGUGCCUAACACAUGCAAGUCGAGCGAAGCACUUUGCUUUGAAUCUUUCGGGAGGACGAGUGAUUUGACUGAGCGGCGGACGGGUGAGUAACGCGUGGGUAACCUGCCUCACACAGGGGGAUAACAGUUAGAAAUGGCUGCUAAUACCGCAUAAGACCACAGCACCGCAUGGUGCAGGGGUAAAAACUCCGGUGGUGUGAGAUGAGCCCGCGUCUGAUUAGCUAGUUGGCAGGGUAAUGGCCUACCAAGGCGACGAUCAGUAGCCGACCUGAGAGGGUGACCGGCCACAUUGGGACUGAGACACGGCCCAAACUCCUACGGGAGGCAGCAGUGGGGAAUAUUGCACAAUGGGGGAAACCCUGAUGCAGCGACGCCGCGUGAGCGAAGAAGUAUUUCGGUAUGUAAAGCUCUAUCAGCAGGGAAGAAACUGACGGUACCUGACUAAGAAGCACCGGCUAAAUACGUGCCAGCAGCCGCGGUAAUACGUAUGGU